AAUCUUUUGUCAUUGUUAUCUUUCUUGAAAACACAACUAUGUUGUUUCCUUUACUCAACAUGUCUAAUCAUUUUAUUACCUAAAAUCUCAAACAACUCUCUGAUGUGUCUAAUCAAACCACAGAGCUUGGUUUUACAAUCCAAGCCUUCUCCCUACUCUUUCUCUUUCAUUUCUUCACACUAUUCCUUCUUAUUUCUUUAUCUCUCUCUUUCUUCUUUCAACUUCUUCUUUGAACCCAAAUCUUACUCUCAUCUCUUUACCAAACAAAAAUCAAAAGCAUGGUUCAAAUUGAAAUCAAUAAGGAGCAAAGGGGUACCAAUCGAAAUAGGGGAGACAACAAAGACUACGACAUUUCCAGCGGUGUUCAGUUUCACUAUGGUAGAUCUGUGAUGGAGGCAACGCUUUUUCGACAACGAUUUGGGUGAUGGUCGGAUUCAAAAUGAUAUCUCAUUUUGAGAACAACAACUAUGGUGUUUCCGGCGGUGUACAGUUUCACAAUGGUAUAUCUUCUUCCUUCUCUACCUCUUUCCCUAUCUCUUUUGUUAUUUCGGUAUCACACCGAAACAAGAUGGUGUUCGAAUUGGUUUACGUUUGUCGUUGUUUUCAAUGUCUUUACUUCAUUCCUGAUUUAUGUGAUGUUCCAGACAAGUUGUAACUUAUCUCUUAUUUGUGUUUUUGGAGGAUUCAUGAGAUUAAGUCUGGAUCGAGUUUUAUCGCUAUGGUGAAGCUAACAAGACACCACAGAAGGCUUGAGCUUAGAAGUUAUUGAAUCCAAAAUCUUGAAGUGACCGCAGAAACUACCUUUUUAUAUUUUUUUUCCAUGAAUGCAGUUAGACAAUGGUGAUAUCAUAUGCUUUCAUAAAGCUUCUGCAAUGGGUAACGGGAGGAAUUAAAUAUACUGUUAAAGCUUCAUUGGUUACAGGAUUGGUCAAAACUUUCUCGAUGUUUGCAUAGGUUCAAGUGAUGAAAUUGUUUUUGUAUGAGAGGUUUUCAGAUUAGUCAUAAUUUGGCUUGGGGAUCAAAGACAUAAGACCAGCAGAGAAAAUGAUCUCUUUAUCUGAUGUUGUGAAGGAGCAUUGGACAACCUAUGGUAGAAAUUUAAAUGCUUAGGCUAUUGUUGGCCUGGGUUGGAAGUUAAAAGAUAUUCUGAUACUGAAAACUGUUUUUACAACACUCAUUUAUAGCUUAUUUUGAAAAUGGUGUUCUAGAGGUUUGCCUUGAAGCAACUUGUGGUGGGCAGCUUGAAAGUGAGAUGGAAGAUAAAUAAAACCAUGAUACAUUAUGUAAGUAUAACUUAUUAAAAAUUAAUUCAUUUUUAGUCUUUUGGUACUAUAAGAAUUGAAUGUUAU
Vicia villosa (hairy vetch) is the source of this 1349-nucleotide long non-coding RNA. RefSeq lists it as uncharacterized. The record is from RefSeq and is a predicted model, not a curated record. The transcript has 4 exons. NCBI's taxonomy places the organism in Eukaryota, Viridiplantae, Streptophyta, Magnoliopsida, Fabales, Fabaceae.